ACGAACGCUGGCGGCAUGCCUAACACAUGCAAGUCGAACGAGACCUUCGGGUCUAGUGGCGCACGGGUGCGUAACGCGUGGGAACCUGCCCUUAGGUUCGGAAUAACUCCCCGAAAGGGGUGCUAAUACCGGAUAAUGUCUUCGGACCAAAGAUUUAUCGCCUUUGGAUGGGCCCGCGUUGGAUUAGCUAGUUGGUAGGGUAAAAGCCUACCAAGGCGACGAUCCAUAGCUGGUCUGAGAGGAUGAUCAGCCACACUGGGACUGAGACACGGCCCAGACUCCUACGGGAGGCAGCAGUGGGGAAUAUUGGACAAUGGGCGAAAGCCUGAUCCAGCAAUGCCGCGUGAGUGAUGAAGGCCUUAGGGUUGUAAAGCUCUUUUACCCGGGAUGAUAAUGACAGUACCGGGAGAAUAAGCUCCGGCUAACUCCG
RNAcentral lists this ribosomal RNA (430 nucleotides) under uncultured bacterium. RNAcentral describes it as "partial 16S ribosomal RNA". It matches the Rfam family "Bacterial small subunit ribosomal RNA", at positions 29 to 505 of the family's 1533-position model. The record is from RNAcentral.